Non-coding RNA from Oncorhynchus mykiss (rainbow trout), 327 nucleotides. NCBI's taxonomy places the organism in Eukaryota, Metazoa, Chordata, Actinopteri, Salmoniformes, Salmonidae. The record is from RefSeq and is a predicted model, not a curated record.
CUAAUUUGUGUAAUCUGUCUACCUACCUGCCUGCCUGUCUGUCUAUUUGUUUCCCUCAGAUUCAACAUGGACCGCUGACUGCGCUGUAACUCCUCCUACUACAUCACUGAUGGAGUCUGCAAACGACUAGUGUGGAGAAGGUGAGGUGGAGGAUCCAGAUUGGGAUGACUGUUUGGCCUGUGAGGAGGGCUGUAAGAAGUACUGUAUGGCUACUACAAGAACUGCCCAGCGAAGACAUACAGCAUAGAGGAGGAGAUGACCGUGUGAUGAGAAGUGUAUUCGCUGUGACGAACACGAAUGCUACUGGUGUCAGACCGACCUCUUCUU